Long non-coding RNA from Catharus ustulatus (Swainson's thrush), 1666 nucleotides. RefSeq lists it as uncharacterized. The transcript is spliced from 6 exons. The record is from RefSeq and is a predicted model, not a curated record. Lineage: Eukaryota; Metazoa; Chordata; Aves; Passeriformes; Turdidae.
GCUGACUGGUUGUGUGCUUUGAUUGACAGGCGCGUCGACCAAUGGGAGGCGGCGCCUGAGGAAGGCGGGAAGCGGCGGCGCCUGAGGGCGGUGGCCCCCAGAGACGCGUCCGGAGCAAUUAUGGCCGCCAAGGUAAAGGUAGAGAAAACAGAGAGCUGCUGUAGGAGGAGCCUGGGAAGGGCACUGGGGACCCCCUGACCAAAUUCCUUCGUGAUCCGCCUCUUUGAUCGCAGCAUGGAGCUGGGGCAGUUCCCAGUCGGGACCCCCCUGUACGCCGUGUGCCAAGCCUGGAUCGGUCACAGCCCCGCUCCCACCCCACCCCCCGACUAGGGGGCAGCGUUACCCUGGAGCUGAGGGCACCAUACAGCCGCCAUGAAACUGCGCAUACACCAGGCUGCGUCUUUGUGUCUUCCUGCCCAGCUAGACAUGCCGUCCUAUUUUCCACUCUCUGUGGCAGCUCCGUUGUCGACUUUCAGCAGCUCCUUUCAUAGAAAAAAGCUCUAAAAGCAAAAGCAAGUGCACGUCUUCCACCUGCUGCACAUAAACUGCAUCAAACUCACCGAUGCACUCUGUUCCUACCCUUCUCCACUGAAUCGAUUGUUGUUCUGCUUGGGUCUCGUGGCAGUAAAGUAAAGCAAGCACAAUUGAUUCCACAGGAGGUGUGAAGAAGAGUAGGUAGCAGCACAAAUAGCCUCCUUACGACUGCCAACGUGAAUUCGGAAGCCAUGCUCCUGUGGCAGCCAGUAUGCUGCACCCACCAGCCCUGUCGCUUCUCAGCGGCGUCUUUCUGCACACUCUGCAAACUGUCGCUUCUUCUCAUUUUCCCGGCGGCAAACUGUCAUCUAUCUACUUCUAGCACAGAAGACUCUGUGGGCUGUAAAGUGCACCUAGGUACUACAGCAUCAGCCUAAGCUCGCCCACAGACUUCCCCUAAAUCUUCGCUGAAGUUUUGUAGAAUGAGUAGUCCUUAUGACAAUGUUGAGAUAAUAGUUUCUUUGACUGUGGGCUUUUGCAAAACUGUUCUGAAUGCUAGCGAUUGACAUGGCAACCAAAUGGAUAAUGGGGAGAUGGGGGAGAUUGGUGGGAGCAGUACCUACUAUGAUCGUGGUUCGGGUUAAACGUUUGCAAUUUUUUGAAAAUUGACACAAGGUGCUGAAAGCUUUCUGAUUUUGAAGAAAGAUCAUGAAGUUGAAAUGAUGACCUCGUGGUUUUAGAGUGGACGGAGAAAUCAAUCUGCUUGCAAUCAAUGAAUGCAGACACUGCUGCAUCUUAGAGACAGUGAGUUGACAGAAACAAAGAAAAACUGUCAAACAAAGAAAAGCUUUGUCCCCUAUUUUCUUGUUUCUUGGAAAAAAGCGAUGUCUCAGACUUUAUUCAGCAGUAUUUUACACAACCAUGCAUGUUUACCAUGCACACAGUCUCUUGCAUGCUCAAAGGAAGCAUUUACACAGCUUUUCUGUCUUUGUGCACCUUCCUUGCAUACCUUUCAUAUGGAUAGCAAGAAAGCAGAGACAGAGAAAAAAAAAUGUUUUGAUCUUCUCUGGUCCACCUUUCUGAACUGAGCAUAUUUGGCAGUGACAAAGAGAGAUCUUAGAAAUUUGUAUUUAUUAUGUGUGAAAAAUCAGUUUGCCAAAUGAGGGAUAAGGAGGAAAAGAAUUUUCAGGGA